RNAcentral lists this unclassified non-coding RNA (241 nucleotides) under plant metagenome. Its description in RNAcentral is "partial contains small subunit ribosomal RNA, internal transcribed spacer 1, and 5.8S ribosomal RNA". The record is from RNAcentral.
UUUCCGUAGGUGAACCUGCGGAAGGAUCAUUAAAGAGUAAGGGUCUCCGGGCCCGAUCUCCAACCCUUUGUUUAAUUACCAUGUUGCUUUGGCGGGCCCGUCUCACGACCGCCGGAAGUUUGGUCUCAACCAGACUUCUGGCCCGUGCCCGUCAGCGGCCCCUUCAAAUUCUUGAUUAAAUAUGAUGUCUUAGUUAUAAACUUAAUAGUUAAAACUUUCAACAACGGAUCUCUUGGUUCUG